UGGCUAAGUACUUAUUGCUAACUUGAGAGAAAAAGUAUGUGCAUUCUCUCUUUAGUUGGAGUUUUGGCAUACAUAUGAACACAUUAAAGUUGAGAGAAAAAGUAUGUGCCUUUUGCUUGCCUUCUCGUUUCUCGAGUUGUUUUAUAUGGAAUCUGCAACUAACAAGACACCGAGUUAUUGCUUUCUUAUUGGAACAUAUGCUAGAUUACACAGUCUUGGUAGUUAGCUUCUAAAUCUUCUUUUGUUUUUGUAGAAGCUAAGAGGAAGAACUUGAAUUCUUUGUAAUUGGAAGUUUUCCAUCAUAUGUGCUCUUCAUAACGUCUGGCUUCUUCACUAUCCGAGCUCCUGUUGGAACUUUUCGGGUCUUUGGACGAAUAUCCUGCGUGUGCACAUAAGAAAAUCAUUUGAUGUUUGGCAUUUUCCAUUGUUGAGGAAUUGAUGUAAAGAAGAGAGCAAGCUCAGGUGUAGUCGUAAAGAACAGAGGACUGUAACUUCAAACCUGAUCAAAGAUGGCAGUGGGUAUUGCAAGUGUAGCAACGGCAUUUGGAGAAUCGACUAUACCGGAUAUUCUUCCUUCGCAUGGACAGCAUGAGAGUUCUGUGAGACACAUCUUGUUGCGGAGAUCAGUACCUGUUCUUUUGAGUAACCGAAUUUGAAGAGAUAGUCUAUAGCGUUGAGAACUGCUCGUUUGUAUGCAACUGUUGCAUCUAGGUAAUGUUGUCUUCCGCUCUCAUCGACACUGAUAC
RNAcentral lists this long non-coding RNA (746 nucleotides) under Arabidopsis thaliana (thale cress). RNAcentral describes it as "ncRNA (AT4G37553)". The record is from RNAcentral. Lineage: Eukaryota; Viridiplantae; Streptophyta; Magnoliopsida; Brassicales; Brassicaceae.